GUCUGUAGCUCAGUGGUAGAGCACCUGCCUUGCAUAUGUGAGGCCCUGGGUUUGAUCCUCAGCACCACA
Molecule: transfer RNA, 69 nt
Filed under: Marmota monax (woodchuck)
Lineage: Eukaryota; Metazoa; Chordata; Mammalia; Rodentia; Sciuridae
Description: tRNA.Ala
Source: RNAcentral